CCGCGCCGCGCGCCCAGCAGCCCGGCGCCCGCCGCCGCCUCUUCAAUGGGCAACCUGCUCGGCGGGGUCAGCUUCCGCGAGCCCACCACCGUGGAGGACUGCGACUCCACCUGGCAGACGGACUCGGAGCCGGAGCCGGAGGAGCCAGGGCCGGGCGGCGGCGGCCAGGGCCCGGGGCAGGAACCCGAGGAGCCCGCGCAGCCUCCGGAGCGAGCUGGGGGGCGGCCCCGCGCCAGCCCUGCGCCGGACGAGGACGCCGAGGCGGCGGGCGCCGAGCAGGGUGGUGAUUCCUCUGAAGCAACUGCCAAACCAAAGAGAAGUUUUUAUGCUGCAAGGGAUUUGUACAAAUACCGACAUCAGUACCCACAGAACUUCAAAGAUAUCCGAUAUCAAAAUGACUUGAGCAAUCUUCGUUUCUAUAAGAAUAAAAUUCCAUUUAAGCCAGAUGGUGUUUACAUUGAAGAAGUUUUAAAUAAAUGGAAAGGAGAUUAUGAAAAGCUGGAGCACAACCACACUUACAUUCAAUGGCUUUUUCCCCUGAGAGAACAAGGCUUGAACUUUUAUGCUAAAGAGCUAACUACAUAUGAAAUUGAGGAAUUCAAAAAAACAAAAGAAGCAAUUAGAAGAUUCCUCCUGGCUUAUAAAAUGAUGCUAGAAUUUUUUGGAAUAAAACUGAUUGAUAAAAAUGGAAAUGUUGCUCGGGCUGUUAACUGGCAGGAAAGAUUUCAGCAUCUGAAUGAGUCCCAGCACAACUAUUUAAGAAUCACCCGUAUUCUCAAAAGCCUUGGUGAGCUUGGAUAUGAAAGUUUUAAAUCUCCUCUUGUAAAAUUUAUUCUUCAUGAAGCUCUUGUGGAAAAUACUAUUCCCAAUAUUAAGCAGAGUGCUCUGGAGUAUUUUGUUUAUACAAUUAGAGAUAGAAGAGAAAGGAGAAAGCUCCUGCGGUUUGCCCAGAAACAUUACACGCCUUCAGAGAAUUUUAUCUGGGGACCACCUAAAAAAGAACAAUCAGAGGGAAGCAAAGCUCAGAAAAUGCCGGCCCCUCCUGCCUCUAGUCAUAACAGUCAAACGUCUAUGCACAAAAAAUCCAAGGACUCCAAAACUUCCUCUUCAGCUGUUCAUUUAAAUAGCAAAACAGCUGAAGAAAAAAAAGUGGCACCAAAAGAGUCUGGGGAAGAGACAGACAGGCCCAGCCCAGAGCCCAACAAUGAAGCUGCCAAACCAGAAAACACAGAGGACAGUGAUACUGAAAAUUCAAAUGCUCAAUCUGAGAAAACAGUUACUACUCCAACAGAAAGAAAGGAGAGUUCAUCUCCUUCUGAAAAAGAAGAAGAGGGCGAAAAUCAUAACAAAGACUGUGAAAAUCCUGGAAAUACCAGUUGCCAUGAUGAGGCUUGGCCAGGCACUGACAAGGGUAACGUGUUGACUCUCAGCAUGACUGACUGAAUGAAUUAAAGAUGAUUAAAAAUAUACCGACAUGUCUAGGAACCAUGCAAAGAUGUACCCACCUCCCAGAUGACUUUACAACCUGUUCUUUCUGAACCAGACUUUUACCAAGGACCCCUCGACUGACCCAAAACAUUCCUAAAAAAGGGAAACCCAAACUGCUUGCCCAACAUCACAGCCCAAAGCAGCCACAGUGGUCAUUGCCCAUUUCCAAUGCUCAUACUCCAAAGCACUUCCCCCUCCUCCUACCUGUUGUUGAAGUUACCUGACUCCAGGGAAUUGUUCCUCCCAGCAAGGGGUUAUUAAUAAAAACCACCUGGAUAACUCAUUUUCUGUCCUUGGUCACACCACCUUUUGGUCACAUAGGCAAGAUAAGAGGAGGAGGGGGCAUGAGAAGAAAGGAGAUCUGAAAUGUAUAAAAGGGGGAAGACAACCCCACUCUCUCAGGCACAAGUUUUGGAUCCCCUCCUCUAUGGAAGAAUAUCUCACCCCCGCUUCUAUCCUUUAAAUAAAACUUUUUGCUCUUGCCUGGA
RNA transcript from Marmota flaviventris (yellow-bellied marmot), 1976 nucleotides. It is a transcript of the gene named opioid growth factor receptor like 1, with no coding region annotated. The record is from RefSeq and is a predicted model, not a curated record. NCBI's taxonomy places the organism in Eukaryota, Metazoa, Chordata, Mammalia, Rodentia, Sciuridae.